UACGUAGGGUGCGAGCGUUAAUCGGAAUUACUGGGCGUAAAGCGUACGCAGGCGGCUAUGCAAGACAGGUGUGAAAUCCCCGGGCUUAACCUGGGAACUGCAUUUGUGACUGCAUAGCUAGAGUUUGUCAGAGGGGGGUGGAAUUCCACGUGUAGCAGUGAAAUGCGUAGAGAUGUGGAGGAAUACCGGUGGCGAAGGCGGCAUCCUGGACCAUUACUGACGCUGAGGCGCGAAAGCUAGGGGAGCAAACGGG
This 253-nucleotide ribosomal RNA is filed under the name uncultured bacterium. RNAcentral describes it as "partial 16S ribosomal RNA". It matches the Rfam family "Bacterial small subunit ribosomal RNA", at positions 524 to 776 of the family's 1533-position model. The record is from RNAcentral.